Molecule: unclassified non-coding RNA, 314 nt
Filed under: plant metagenome
Description: partial contains 5.8S ribosomal RNA, internal transcribed spacer 2, and large subunit ribosomal RNA
Rfam family: 5.8S ribosomal RNA (bases 1-105)
Source: RNAcentral
GAAAUGCGAUAAUUAAUGUGAAUUGCAGAAUUCAGUGAAUCAUCGAGUCUUUGAACGCACAUUGCGCCCCCUGGUAUUCCGGGGGGCAUGCCUGUCCGAGCGUCAUUGCUGCCCUCAAGCACGGCUUGUGUGUUGGGCUUCCGUCCCUGGCAACGGGGACGGGCCCAAAAGGCAGUGGCGGCACCAUGUCUGGUCCUCGAGCGUAUGGGGCUUUGUCACCCGCUCCCGUAGGUCCAGCUGGCAGCUAGCCUCGCAACCAAUCUUUUUUACCAGGUUGACCUCGGAUCAGGUAGGGAUACCCGCUGAACUUAAGA